AGCAGAAGCACAGCCUUUUCUUUACUGGCUGAAGACCGUGCCAAAAACCCAGUAGGGUUAUCAGAGUGAAAGAAAGGGACACCUUGAUACAGGCAGUAGCUCUCUGGCCAGAGACUGCAAGUCUUCUGUUGAUCCAACUGGGAAGAACCAUGAGGGCGCCGGCUCAUGCUCUGCUCACGUUCCUGUGGUUGCAGCUGGACUGGGGCCGAGCAGAGCAGCUGGAGCAGCUUCCCCGCACCCUGCGAGUGCAGGAGGGAGACACCUCUGUCAUCAGCUGUACUUACUCGGACAGUGGCUCGUCCUACUUCCCUUGGUACAAACAAGAAGCUGGGAAGGGGCCCCAGCUCAUUAUUGACAUUCGUUCAAAUGCAGUGAGCGUGCAAAAGCGAAGACUGCUGGUUUCUUUCAGCAAGGCAGCUAAGCAGGUCUCCCUGCACAUCACAGACAUCCAGCUUGGAGACGCAGCCGUGUACUUCUGUGCAGCCAGUGCACACUGCUUGGCAGGCACCUGCAGUCUGUGCGAAAACCUGCCUCUGGGCUGGGCCCUCUGCUGGUCUUAGCACAGACUUUUCAGU
Molecule: non-coding RNA, 575 nt
Organism: Cavia porcellus (domestic guinea pig)
Lineage: Eukaryota; Metazoa; Chordata; Mammalia; Rodentia; Caviidae
Source: the annotation of a RefSeq genome assembly